UUUCGAAUCGUUCACAAUGGGGGCAACCCUGAUGGCGCGACGCCGCGUGGGGGAUGAAGGUCUUCGGAUUGUAAACUCCUGUCAUGGGGGACUAAUGGCCGGGCUCAUACCCUGGUUUGAAUUAACCCCAAGAGGAAGCAGUGGCUAACUCUGUGCCAGCAGCCGCGGUAAUACAGAGACUGCAAGCGUUACUCGGAUUCACUGGGCGUAAAGGGAGCGCAGGCGGACUGGUGUGUCAGGCGUGAAAUCCCGGGGCUCAACCCCGGGGCUGCGCCCGAAACUACCAGUCUAGAGACUUGGAGGGGUGAGCGGAAUUCUUGGUGGAGCAGUGAAAUGCGUAGAUAUCAAGAGGAACACCAACGGCGAAGGCAGCUCACUGGACAAGAUCUGACGCUCAGGC
This 400-nucleotide ribosomal RNA is filed under the name uncultured bacterium. Its description in RNAcentral is "bacterial SSU rRNA". It matches the Rfam family "Bacterial small subunit ribosomal RNA", at positions 355 to 752 of the family's 1533-position model. The record is from RNAcentral.